This 73-nucleotide transfer RNA is filed under the name Loxodonta africana (African savanna elephant). It matches the Rfam family "tRNA". From Rfam's summary of the family: Transfer RNA (tRNA) molecules are approximately 80 nucleotides in length. Lineage: Eukaryota; Metazoa; Chordata; Mammalia; Proboscidea; Elephantidae. The record is from Rfam by way of RNAcentral.
CCCUGAGUGGUGCAAUGGUUAAGGCAUUCAGCUGCUAACUCAAAGUUUGGUGGUUCAAGUCCACCCAGAGGCG